Molecule: ribosomal RNA, 253 nt
Filed under: uncultured bacterium
Lineage: Bacteria
Description: partial 16S ribosomal RNA
Rfam family: Bacterial small subunit ribosomal RNA
Source: RNAcentral
UACGAAGGUGGCUAGCGCUGUUCGGAAUUACUGGGCGUAAAGCGUGCGCAGGCGGCUUCUCAAGUCAGGGGUGAAAGCCCAGAGCUCAACUCUGGAAUUGCCUUUGAGACUGAGUGGCUUGAGUACGAGAGAGGUGAGUGGAAUUCCCAGUGUAGAGGUGAAAUUCGUAGAUAUUGGGAAGAACACCGGUGGCGAAGGCGGCUCACUGGCUCGUAACUGACGCUCAUGCACGACAGCGUGGGGAUCAAACAGG